UACGUAGGUGGCGAGCGUUGUCCGGAUUUACUGGGCGUAAAGAGAACGCAGGCGGUCUUUUAAGUCUGAUGUGAAAGCCUUCGGCUUAACCGGAGUAGUGCAUUGGAAACUGGGAGACUUGAGUGCAGAAGAGGAGAGUGGAACUCCAUGUGUAGCGGUGAAAUGCGUAGAUAUAUGGAAGAACACCAGUGGCGAAAGCGGCUCUCUGGUCUGUAACUGACGCUGAGGUUCGAAAGCGUGGGUAGCAAACAGG
RNAcentral lists this ribosomal RNA (253 nucleotides) under uncultured bacterium. RNAcentral's name for it is "partial 16S ribosomal RNA". It matches the Rfam family "Bacterial small subunit ribosomal RNA", at positions 524 to 776 of the family's 1533-position model. The record is from RNAcentral.